This 1283-nucleotide long non-coding RNA is filed under the name Fragaria vesca (wild strawberry). RNAcentral's name for it is "long non-coding RNA (FVES_LNC001840)". The record is from RNAcentral. Lineage: Eukaryota; Viridiplantae; Streptophyta; Magnoliopsida; Rosales; Rosaceae.
GUAGCUCUAACGUACAGUCGAGAACACAUUUAGUUAUGAUCUUGAUCGAUACUGGAGGACUUGCUAGUAUGAAUCUCAAUAAUGAUGUAGCUGAUAUUGGAGGCUAUUUAUGCCAAAAUAUGGGUCAAAACCUGCCAAAACAUAGAAAAAGAAAAAUCACGUAACCAAAACAGAAUUGAGAAAUUCAUACAGCUAGCUAGAUAGUGUAAAAGCCAACCUUGCAUUCCUUUGGAAACAAGCCUCGUGUACCUGUUUAGUGUCUACAAGACUACAACCUUGAGCAGAUAAUAUUGCAUAUUUCCCUCAAGUUGUAAUAUGGGCAGCUCGAUCGAUCUCUAGUGUGGACGUCCACACAUGUGGUCAAUUAUGUGAAAUCAUUUUAUCAAUGCCCUACUAGCAAUCAAUAUUGGAUAACCACCCAAGUGACCAAACCACUCUAUCAAUUACCUAAUAAUAAAACUAGCUAUCUAGCUUACUCUCUUUUGGGUUUUGACUCCUAAAAUUCUCUAAUUUUCUUGUAUUUGAGAGGUCGUUUCCUUCCAACAUUGUGAUUGUUAUAUCGUUCCUUGAACGAUUAUAUUGAACGAUUAUAGAGUUUAGUAUUUAAGUUUUGAAAGUCGGAAAUCAAAACUGAGAGAAUGACAAUUUGACAAAUGUAUUAUUGUUAUAUCUUCUUUUUUUCUUAUGCUAAAAAACUAAUUACAAAACAGAUCCCCGGAAGCAACCUGCUCCAAAAAGAUCAGAAUUAACAACAAGCCCUACGGACAGGGGAAAAUCCGAAUUUCUAACAAGCCCUAUUUAUUAUUGCUAUAUCGUUUUUAAAAAGAUUAUAGAGUUUAGUAUUUAGGUUUUGAAAGUUGGAAAUCAAAACUGAGAGAAUAAUAAAUAUACGAUCUAUAUGUCUUAAUUUGUAAAUCUUAAUUCUUUAUCUAAAUUGUCCAACAUUUUUUUUUUGUCAAGAGACUUCCUUUUAACUUUGAAUAGCGAUGGUCUUCUAUCCCUGAAUUUAGAGGAAAUAUUUGUGUAUGAUACAUAUAAACGUGUAGCUUCCACCCACUCAACACAGAGCCACCUUCGCCUCUUGGUUUCCUACACUUAUCCAUUGUCUGAGAUUCUGAGUUGUCGCCUACAAUACUAACCUAUUCCCACCUCUCCUCCAACUCCCAACAAUGUCAAAAUUUUAAGCUAGCCUCUCUUUCACACAAACCUUCAAGCUACUUCUCCCUCCUAUUUAAACCUUCACACUACGUACACCAUCCGCUCAUCUCUCUCUCUCUCNNNNN